ACACCGGCGGCCCGAGUGGUGAUCGUGAUUAUUGGGUCUAAAGGGUCCGUAGCCGGUUUGGUCCAGUCCUCCGGGAAAUCUGACAGCUCAACUGUUAGGCUUUCGGGGGAUACUGCCAGACUUGGAACCGGGAGAGGUAAGAGGUACUACAGGGGUAGGAGUGAAAUCUUGUAAUCCCUGUGGGACCACCUGUGGCGAAGGCGUCUUACCAGAACGGGUUCGACGGUGAGGGACGAGAGCUGGGGGCAC
RNAcentral lists this ribosomal RNA (249 nucleotides) under uncultured bacterium. RNAcentral describes it as "partial 16S ribosomal RNA". It matches the Rfam family "Archaeal small subunit ribosomal RNA", at positions 473 to 720 of the family's 1478-position model. The record is from RNAcentral.